GCUGGGAUAGCUCAGUUGGCUGGAGCAUGAGACUCUUAAUCUCAGGGUCACGGGUUCGAGUCCCUCCUAGGGCA
This is a non-coding RNA of Podarcis lilfordi (Lilford's wall lizard), 74 nucleotides long. The record is from the annotation of a GenBank genome assembly. NCBI's taxonomy places the organism in Eukaryota, Metazoa, Chordata, Lepidosauria, Squamata, Lacertidae.